Molecule: non-coding RNA, 23 nt
Filed under: Arabidopsis thaliana (thale cress)
Lineage: Eukaryota; Viridiplantae; Streptophyta; Magnoliopsida; Brassicales; Brassicaceae
Source: RNAcentral
AUCUAUGUAAUUCUCUUGGCCCA